GAUGAACGCUGGCGGCGUGCCUAAUACAUGCAAGUCGAGCGAACGGACGAGAAGCUUGCUUCUCUGAUGUUAGCGGCGGACGGGUGAGUAACACGUGGAUAACCUACCUAUAAGGCUGGGAUAACUUCGGGAAACCGGAGCUAAUACCGGAUAAUAUUUUGAACCGCAUGGUUCAAAAGUAAAAGACGGUCUUGCUGUCACUUAUAGAUGGAUCCGCGCUGCAUUAGCUAGUUGGUAAGGUAACGGCUUACCAAGGCAACGAUGCAUAGCCGACCUGAGAGGGUGAUCGGCCACACUGGAACUGAGACACGGUCCAGACUCCUACGGGAGGCAGCAGUAGGGAAUCUUCCGCAAAGGGCGAAAGCCUGACGGAGCAACGCCGCGUGAGUGAUGAAGGUCUUCGGAUCGUAAAACUCUGUUAUUAGGGAAGAACAUAUGUGUAAGUAACUGUGCACAUCUUGACGGUACCUAAUCAGAAAGCCACGGCUAACUACGUG
This 497-nucleotide ribosomal RNA is filed under the name uncultured bacterium. RNAcentral describes it as "partial 16S ribosomal RNA". It matches the Rfam family "Bacterial small subunit ribosomal RNA", at positions 28 to 507 of the family's 1533-position model. The record is from RNAcentral.